ACGGAAGGCAGCAGUGGGGAAUAUUGCACAAUGGGGGAAACCCUGAUGCAGCAACGCCGCGUGAGUGAAGAAGUAUUUCGGUAUGUAAAGCUCUAUCAGCAGGGAAGAUAAUGACGGUACCUGACUAAGAAGCUCCGGCUAAAUACGUGCCAGCAGCCGCGGUAAUACGUAUGGAGCAAGCGUUAUCCGGAUUUACUGGGUGUAAAGGGUGUGUAGGUGGCACUGCAAGUCAGAUGUGAAAGACCGGGGCUCAACCCCGGGGCUGCAUUUGAAACUGCGGGGCUGGAGUGCAGGAGAGGCAAGCGGAAUUCCUAGUGUAGCGGUGAAAUGCGUAGAUAUUAGGAGGAACACCAGUGGCGAAGGCGGCUUGCUGGACUGAUACUGACACUGAGGCACGAAAGCGUGGGGAGCAAACAGGAUUAGAUACCCUGGUA
This 434-nucleotide ribosomal RNA is filed under the name uncultured Lachnospiraceae bacterium. Its description in RNAcentral is "partial 16S ribosomal RNA". It matches the Rfam family "Bacterial small subunit ribosomal RNA", at positions 341 to 792 of the family's 1533-position model. The record is from RNAcentral. Lineage: Bacteria; Bacillati; Bacillota; Clostridia; Lachnospirales; Lachnospiraceae.